Molecule: ribosomal RNA, 301 nt
Filed under: uncultured bacterium
Lineage: Bacteria
Description: partial 16S ribosomal RNA
Rfam family: Bacterial small subunit ribosomal RNA
Source: RNAcentral
GCAGUCGCCGCGGGAAUACGCAGGGUGCGAGCGUUAAUCGGAAUUACUGGGCGUAAAGCGUGCGCAGGCGGUUCGUUAAGACAGAUGUGAAAUCCCCGGGCUUAACCUGGGAACUGCAUUUGUGACUGGCGAGCUAGAGUAUGGCAGAGGGGGGUAGAAUUCCACGUGUAGCAGUGAAAUGCGUAGAGAUGUGGAGGAAUACCGAUGGCGAAGGCAACCCCCUGGGCCAAUACUGACGCUCAUGCACGAAAGCGUGGGGAGCAAACAGGAUUAGAUACCCCUGUAGUCCCUGUCUCUUAUA